GCUCAGUUAGUAUGAUGGUUUUUACUCUUGGCUUGUAAUCGAGUGGGAUCGGGUUGAAAUCCCGAAUAAGGCA
This is a non-coding RNA of Trichonephila clavata, 73 nucleotides long. NCBI's taxonomy places the organism in Eukaryota, Metazoa, Arthropoda, Arachnida, Araneae, Nephilidae. The record is from the annotation of a GenBank genome assembly.